GGGAGGUCUGGGUAAAGUGUGUGUCCGUGUGUGUGUGACGGAGAGAGCUUUAUAAAAGGUCUCGAGGUCGAAUCUGAAGUCAGUGUAGUGUCUAAUCGUCCGAAGUACUGCAGUCGCAAACAGGGGCAAUAAGAUGCAGACGUCCCACAGGCCUGUGCAGUGGCUCGCUGUCAUGCUUCUUGUCAUUGUUACAACCGGCCAGUGCCAACAAAGCGACAGUCGCCGAGCUGUAACUGAACACCAGCUGAUGCAUGACCGCGGCCGAACCAUCCAGAGUCUCAAGAGACUCUUCUGGCUGUCCAGCGCGAUCGAGGGUCUCCACACAGCACAGACCCGCUCUGCCGCUUUCAGCCCCACAAAGGUCUUAAACCUGGCUCUGAAUCCAGAGCUGAUCCCUGAUGAUGGAAACCCCCAGAACGCCCGAGUCAGGAGCCUCCUGAGAGACUUCUUUAAUCCAUACCUGCCAAACGGGGACGACUAACAACGCACAGAAGCAAAAACAUGAAGCUAAACAUAUAUGAAAAUUUUAUUGUGUCAAUUGUUUGAAUAAUAAAAUGCACAAAAAGCACAACUACAAAAUCAUCCGGAGUGCCCAAAGCACCCAUUCAGCUGCAGAUGUGUCUCAAGUGUUUAAAAGCAGCUGUAAGUUUAAGUUUAGUUAAUAGAGCUGCAUGAAAGUGUUUCAGUGGGUGUAGUGGUAAGGUUUCAAUGUAUGACUGCAUACGUCUAUAUGACUGCAUAGGCUUUAAAAAACAUUUAUUGGGGUUUAUUGAUGUUGUUGUUUUUUGUUUUUUAAUCAUGACUGAAUAUCACACGUUAAGGCCAACACACACCAAAUUAUCUAGAUAACGAAUAUAAAACUUGUUGGUUAUUGCAGACUUUUUUCAAUAUCCAGCUUUAGUUUUAGGACCAGCAUAUUCAUGUGUUUGAAAGCCAUUUAGACAAUUUCAUAACUGCAGAUGAUGCCUGCAAAACUCAAAGUCACAAUAAACCUAACUGUGACAGUUAAAAAAUACAUGAUUUAGUCUGUUAUAUAUUUUUUGCAUUCAUGGAAAAAUAAGCUUUUUUUGUGCAGAUAUUUAAAAAAAAUCAUACUUAUACUAAAAUGUUAAAUGCUCAAAUUAAUUUUGCAGUUUAAUUUGUGAUGUUCUUUUUUUGACCAUUUUCCUACAGCUGGUUACCAAAGUUGAAUAGGCUUACUUUUUGUAAACUAAAUGCUGUAACUCUUCAGUUUUCAGUUUUGGGAAAAAAUUGCCACCUGGUAACAGCAAGCAUAAAUAUUUAAAAGACUGUAUGCAGAUUUCUCCUGUAUAUAUUCUUUGAAUUAUAAACACAUCAUCCCUGAUAUACAAAAGCUGUGAUACGUCACCCAGCUCUGCUACAUAUUUUCCAGCUCUCAUUCUCUCCAUCAAAUGCAAAUAUACAAAUUUUGGAUUCGGCAGAAAGAUGGCGAAAGUAUGAAGCCCAGAAAAAAGUGUAGGACGGAGACAGUUUGAGAUCCCACACAAAGGCAUGUAGCAGUUUUAAAGAACCUGAUCUGGAUGAGAACCAAAAUUUAUUUGGUUCUUUUAAAUAGUUUUUAUGUGAUUUUGCUGGCAGAGAAGCAGCAUGGGAUUUUCCCAAAUACAUUUGGGAGAAAACAACGCUCCUGACUUCAACAAAACUUAAAUCAAGUAAAUUAGUUAAUUUGUUUUUCUAAAUACCCCUUCAAUGUCCACUUUAUAACAUAAAAAUAGCAUUUUAAUGAUGUUGUCUUUUGUUAAUGUUAAAAAGUCCUUGAAGCAUGAGACUGAACAUAUUUACAUACCUGCAGCUAUGCUUCUCCCACACCUCAGAAGUGCUUUUUUUUUAUCAUUAACUGAAAUAUUUUCAGGUUGGUCUCUUUUGUCCUUUAUUGUGCUGCUUUUAGCAAAUUUGCCUGAUGCACAACAGUGUUGUUGAUUUUUUGGAGGUGUCAGUUGCUCUGCAUCCUACAGCUGCCCAUAGCAUCCGUCUCUGCAAAGUUUUUGCAGGGAGUCUAACCUGAACUUAACAGGUUAGACGUAGCACUGUGUGCUAUGAUAGAUUCUGAAAAGAGAACCCAAGAAAGUAAAUGCAGAGGUAACAGCAACCUGAAAGUCGAGAGAUUCAAGGGGUGCCCCUGAAUGUAAGCAUCUCCAUCCAACGAUUCCAAAAAGUCCCAUUGUCCAAUAAGUACUAUACAGUAACAAAGACCCAGACAAAGAUGUGCUGCCUAACAAAACAAGGAUGUGACUGCAGGUGAAAACCAUGUUAUUUGUACAGCAGAAAAGGCAAUAGAGAGUUAUGUUCAAUUACAGCAGCAUGGUCUGAUUUAACUCCUAUACUGAAGCUGAUGGAGGAUUUUGACUUUCAGCCUUUACAGUGAAGUCAUGUUACAAAGUGAAUGAUUACAAACACAAAAAAGCCUGUAAUACAGGAAGGAAUGAGGGACUUUAGGCUGCAGCUACUACAUUCAAAAAGACUGAUGCAACUGUGUAAGAGGGAGAGGAAAGGAGGGAAAUGAUGACUCAUUUAGAUCUUAUUGCAAAUAUCUGACAUCAUUUGCAUUUGGCUUUGUGCAACUUUUAUUCAGCUGUCAGCAUGUUGGAAAAUGUGCAUGAUCAUUGUGCUUUUCUUGGCUGCAUUAGACCAGUGCUUUGUGUAAAAUAAAAUCAGUGCGUUGUGGUUGGUUCAGUAGUAAAAAUGCAAACCUGUGUUAAGUUUAACAUGUCAUAUAGUGCAGCUUGAAUUUACCCAGAGUCAGUAACAUUUCCAAAUUUGUGUGAUCAGUGUAUAAAGAAAUGUGCAAGGAUGUAUGCAACACUAAUCUGAAUGCUUGCAAUUUUACCUUGUGAAUAUUUAUAUUAAACUAAGUGGUGCACAGUUGUACACACGGUCACGGUCUGUGUCAGCUUACUGCUUAAAGGGGACUCAUUAUGCUUUGUCUUAUCAGUCAGUGUCACAGAUUUUACCUGAAUCUGAGCAGAGAGCACAGAGUUCAUCCUGUUCGUCCUGCCAACCUGGUUCAGGUUUUUCCUGGUACCAGGAAACCAGGGAUUGUCCAUUGUUUCCGGGCUGUGCAGUUAGUGUUAGAUGUUAUCUGGUCAAGUCUAAUCUGGCCUUCUUGUUCCCAAAUACAACCUGUUGUUUGCACCUUGUCACAAACCCUCUGUAUUUCUGUCUCUAAUCUCAUGAUUAGAGACUUUGACAAUGAUAAAGGAACCUCCUCGCGAGUGUUCUUGACUCGGUUACAUGGUGUGAAGGGUUUUUCUUAACCCAGGAAAGAGUUCUGGAAUCAUCCACUUUAGGUGUCUUCUGUGGUCUCUGAGGCAUUUUGCAUUCAACACCUCUUUGGGCCUCAUAUUGAAAGCUCAGUUAACUCCAGAUAUCUGUUAAAUUUGUCAUGGAAUAAUAAGGGAAUGUGUAAUUAUUUGCCUCUGAGAAUGGGGGGGUAUUCUACUGUAUAUAGUAUUUUAUUUUAUUCUAAUUUUUGCUUCAUAACUUUUGCACUGUCCACUUCCUGCUGUGACAAAACAAAUUUCCCACGUGUGGGACUAAUAAAGGUUAUCUUAUCUUAUCUUAUCUUAUCUUAUGUCCUUGCUGACCUGCAUUUGCUCCCUGCCAAAUACCGAAUUGAGUGUUAGUUCUGUUGCUUACCUUUACAAUCAUAAACAAUACCGCGCCGUGCUACCUCAUUGAACUCCUUAGUCCAUAUACCCCUAGGAGAGCCCUAAGAUCAUCGGGACAAUUACUCUUAGUGCAGACUGGAUCCCGGCUAAAGACCAGAGGUGACUGUGCUUUUGACCUAGCAGCCCCGAGCCUCUGGAACAAUCUUCCUGCUGCUAUUCGCGCCUCUGAUUCCAUCUAUUCAUUUAAAUCUCAGUUAAAAACGUACCUGUUUGACCAAGCGUUUUCAGUUAGUUAGUGCACAUCCCCUAUAUUUUACCCUGAUGUUAUUUAUCUUCUACUAAUGUUCCCCUGUAUAAAUACCCCCACCUUAUAUUUAUGAAUACCCAGUAAUUUUAUCUCCUAAACUAAGCUCUAAUGUUUUAUUUCUUAUUUUGUCUGUACUUUUGGGGUUUUUUGUACUCUGUUAUAGCCUUUUAUCUUAUAUCUUAUGUU
This is a long non-coding RNA of Oreochromis niloticus (Nile tilapia), 4122 nucleotides long. RefSeq lists it as uncharacterized. Lineage: Eukaryota; Metazoa; Chordata; Actinopteri; Cichliformes; Cichlidae. The transcript is spliced from 3 exons. The record is from RefSeq and is a predicted model, not a curated record.